This 293-nucleotide ribosomal RNA is filed under the name uncultured cyanobacterium. RNAcentral describes it as "partial 16S ribosomal RNA". It matches the Rfam family "Bacterial small subunit ribosomal RNA", at positions 28 to 346 of the family's 1533-position model. Lineage: Bacteria; Bacillati; Cyanobacteriota. The record is from RNAcentral.
GAUGAACGCUGGCGGUAUGCCCUACACAUGCAAGUCGUACGAGAGUUUUUAACUCAAGUGGCGGACGGGUGAGUAACACGUAAGAAUUUACCUUUAGGAGGGGGACAACAACGGGAAACUGUUGCUAAUACCCCAUAUGGCUUUCGAGUGAAAUGGAUUUAUCCGCCUAGAGAGAGGCUUGCGGCUGAUUAGCUUGUGGUGAGGUAAUGGCUCACCAAGGCGACGAUCAGUAUCUGGUUUGAGAGGACGAUCAGACACACUGGAACUGAGACACGGUCCAGACUCCUACGGGA